ACGCUGGCGGCAGGCCUAACACAUGCAAGUCGAGCGGUAGCACAGGAGAGCUUGCUCUCUGGGUGACGAGCGGCGGACGGGUGAGUAAUGUCUGGGAAACUGCCUGAUGGAGGGGGAUAACUACUGGAAACGGUAGCUAAUACCGCAUGACGUCGCAAGACCAAAGUGGGGGACCUUCGGGCCUCACGCCAUCGGAUGUGCCCAGAUGGGAUUAGCUAGUAGGUGAGGUAAUGGCUCACCUAGGCGACGAUCCCUAGCUGGUCUGAGAGGAUGACCAGCCACACUGGAACUGAGACACGGUCCAGACUCCUACGGGAGGCAGCAGUGGGGAAUAUUGCACAAUGGGCGCAAGCCUGAUGCGGCCAUGCCGCGUGUGUGAAGAAGGCCUUAGGGUUGUAAAGCACUUUCAGCGAGGAGGAAGGCGUUGUGGUUAAUAGCUGCAACGAUUGACGUUACUCGCAGAAGAAGCACCGGCUAACUCCGUGCCAGCAGCCGCGGUAAUACGGAGGGUGCAAGCGUUAAUCGGAAUUACUGGGCGUAAAGCGCACGCAGGCGGUUUGUUAAGUCAGAUGUGAAAUCCCCGAGCUUAACUUGGGAACUGCAUUUGAAACUGGCAAGCUAGAGUCUUGUAGAGGGGGGUAGAAUUCCAGGUGUAGCGGUGAAAUGCGUAGAGAUCUGGAGGAAUACCGGUGGCGAAGGCGGCCCCCUGGACAAAGACUGACGCUCAGGUGCGAAAGCGUGGGGAGCAAAC
Molecule: ribosomal RNA, 751 nt
Filed under: uncultured bacterium
Lineage: Bacteria
Description: bacterial SSU rRNA
Rfam family: Bacterial small subunit ribosomal RNA
Source: RNAcentral